UUUUCUUGUACACCCGUCUCCUUCGUCACGCCAAACAGCACCGCCGUGCGCUCCGCUCCUCCUGCUGAUUUGCCCAAACCGGCCGCCGCGGGCCGAGGUAGCCCCUUCGCGCCUCUCCUCCGCGCUUGCCGGCCGCCGCCCCUCAGCCUGAGCUGGCCGUGCCUUGCUCCCUGCCGCGACCUCGCUCCUCUGCCGGAGCUCGCCUCGCCGCCCCGAGCCGGACGUCCCCCGGGCCACUCCUCCACUCGAGCUACCGGCCGCGGGCCGAGCUCGCCCCGACGCGUGCCGCUCCUCCGCUCGAGCCCGCCACGAGCCACCCCCGCGCGCUCCUCCUCGUUGCCUUCCACCUCCUCGCGACCGCUGCCCGCCUUCCUCGACGGCGGCGGCGGCGGUUGCGCGGAGUUCGCGAGAUCCCGGUUCGUUCGUUGCUUCCCCUCCCUAAUUCGAACCCUAGAUCCCAAUUCGUGUCUGACUUCUCGAUUGGACUGCACAAUUUUCAUGGUGGGUGAAGCGAAUAGGUAUUGAUGGUUUGCCCAAUUCGUUCCUAAUUUCUUGGUUGAACUGCUGGAUUCAUGGUGGGAGAGGGGAUUAAAUGCGGAUGUUCUUCUCUAUUCUUUGUGUUUUCCUCCUUCAGCAUUGCAUCACUAUAUUAUUUAUGCAUCUUAUUUUUUUAUUGUGUUUCUUUUGUCAGGGAAAGAACUAGAUGCAUGUCAGGUAACUCUCUUUCCUGAUAGCCUUCUUUGUCAUAACCACACACUAGAAUGCAUUCAAAUAAAACUGCACUACGGUUUCUUUCAAGAACUAUUCUUAUGCUCCUUCAAAACUUUCUAGAAUAAUAUGCAGAGGUGGACAGAUUGUUACUUGAGAUUUGAGAAUAAUAUGCAGUUUUGCUGGUACAUCCUGUAUGGUUCGUUCAGCUUUCCAUUCAUUAUGCUACACUAUUUCAGUUUUUCUUUAUUCUAAGCUAGUAGUAACAAAUCUUGAUAGAUGACAUGAUAAUAGUAGAGCACCACAGUUGUGUUGAACCGAAUAUUUUUUUGGGGGUUGUAAUGUUCAGUAGUGCACACAUUUGCAAUCAUUGUCGAAUUACAUGUUAUGGCUCGAACUCAGCAAUUUUAGAAGGGGGGGUAUCACUGCAGUCAGGUGCAUCCAAGGCCAACCAUACUUCAUAAGUUACCACCUGCUAUGAAAUCGAUGUACCUUUUUUAUUGCGACAGCUUAUCUACUUCUUCAUUUUCUUUGUGCAGCAUGAACUAAGCAUGUGGGAGUCGCAGCAAUAAUAAUAAGCUCGAUCAAUAGGUCUGUUGAGGGUUGAUUUAAAAUGGAUGGCUUCUUACGAUGUGCCAAGGCAACAAAGAACUAAUGAAUCGAAUUUACUUGGCUUGCUGUUUUGGUUGUCAUGGGGAGUGGACUGUAGGCCACUACUAAUAUAAUCUCUCCUGCGCUUAUUUGCCCCCUAUUUGUCUUCAGGAUGGCCCUCCUGAUGUUCUCUUUCUAAUGACCGCAACAAGAACAGGUCUUCCUAAUGCUACAAAGAGCUUGCGGUAGAAAAGCAUGCAGAAGCAAAUCAUCUAGGCAAACUUUUGGUUAGUAGGAUGAGUUGGGGACUUGUAAUAAGUGUGUUUGAUAAGUUGUGGCUGUCACAGUAUUUGUAAUUGUAUUUUGCUAUUUGUGAUUUUGUUUAGUCCGUGAAAACUGAGCAUUAAGGCCCAAAUGGAUUGGGCUUUGUUAAUGACGAAUCAAAUCGAUAUAAUGGAGAUGCUAUAUUAUAUUCUAGUCA
This is a long non-coding RNA of Panicum virgatum (switchgrass), 1780 nucleotides long. RefSeq lists it as uncharacterized. The record is from RefSeq and is a predicted model, not a curated record. NCBI's taxonomy places the organism in Eukaryota, Viridiplantae, Streptophyta, Magnoliopsida, Poales, Poaceae. The transcript is spliced from 4 exons.